CACGGCGCACGGGUGCGUAACACGUGGGCAAUCUGCCCUCGGAUGGGGGAUACCCCCGCGAAAGCGGGACUAAUACCGCAUGACAUUCCGAAGACCUCGGUCUUUGGAUUCAAAGCCCGCAAGGGCGUCUGAGGAGGAGCCCGCGCCCGAUUAGCUAGUUGGUGAGGUAACGGCUCACCAAGGCUAUGAUCGGUAGCCGGUCUGAGAGGAUGGCCGGCCACACUGGAACUGAGACACGGUCCAGACUCCUACGGGAGGCAGCAGUGGGGAAUAUUGCGCAAUGGGCGAAAGCCUGACGCAGCGACGCCGCGUGGGGGAUGAAGCUUCUCGGAGUGUAAACCCCUUUCGACCCGGAAGAAUGACCCGCAAGGGUUUGACGGUACGGGUAUAAGAAGCCCCGGCUAACUACGUGCCAGCAGCCGCGGUAAUACGUAGGGGGCCAGCGUUGCUCGGAAUUACUGGGCGUAAAGGGUUCGUAGGUGGUGCGGCAAGUUGGGAGUGAAAUCUCUGGGCUUAACUCAGAGGCUGCUUUCAAAACUGCCGUGCUCGAGUGCGAGAGAGGUCAGUGGAAUUGCAGGUGUAGCGGUGAAAUGCGUAGAUAUCUGCAGGAACACCCGUGGCGAAGGCGGCUGACUGGAUCGCAAC
Molecule: ribosomal RNA, 645 nt
Filed under: uncultured bacterium
Lineage: Bacteria
Description: bacterial SSU rRNA
Rfam family: Bacterial small subunit ribosomal RNA
Source: RNAcentral